Molecule: non-coding RNA, 204 nt
Filed under: Oscillospiraceae bacterium
Lineage: Bacteria; Bacillati; Bacillota; Clostridia; Eubacteriales; Oscillospiraceae
Description: 6S RNA
Rfam family: 6S / SsrS RNA
About the family: E. coli 6S RNA was the first non coding RNA to be sequenced, but its function was unknown until recently. It consists of 184 nucleotides that fold into an extended hairpin structure with a large single-stranded internal bulge.
Source: RNAcentral
CUUAUCCUGCCCAGUGCGCGGACUGCGCUUAUAUAACCCUACAACUUUAUUAUUGGGAGUUUAGCUCCGGCAGAGGGAUUGCAGACCUCCCGGCACAGUCUUGAGCUGUGUUGGACGAAGGGAGCGCGAGAAUGUUGGGCGGACACCCACCUGCUUUUCAGUAGGCAGGUUAUCUCAAGUGUAUUACGGCUGGGCGGGGGAUGC